RNAcentral lists this long non-coding RNA (8065 nucleotides) under Gossypium barbadense (sea-island cotton). RNAcentral describes it as "long non-coding RNA (GBAR_LNC000150)". Lineage: Eukaryota; Viridiplantae; Streptophyta; Magnoliopsida; Malvales; Malvaceae. The record is from RNAcentral.
UAAAAUGUUUGAUAGGCAAGCGAGCUUGGUUUGGUUUAGGAAGCAGGAUCAUCAUAACAACAAGAGACGAGCAUCUGCUGCAAAUCUACGGAGUUGAUGAUGUGUAUAAUCCGACGAAAUUGAAUGCCAAGGAAGCACUUCGCCUUUUCAGUUUGAAAGCUUUCAAAAGUGAAACACCUGCAAAGGAAUUUUUUGAGCUUUCUGAACAUGUAGUGGAAUAUGCCAAUGGCCUUCCAUUAGCUCUUGAAGUUUUUGGUUCUUUUCUAUCUGGCAGAUCAGAUGAAGCUCAAUGGAGACGUGCUACCGAAAGACUUAAAAAGGAGUCCAACAAAGAAAUUCUAGACAGGCUUCAAAUAAGCUUUGAUGGGUUAGAACAGUCAGAGAAAGCUAUAUUUUUAGAUAUUGCAUGCUUCUUCAAAGGAGAAGACAAAGAUAUGGUAACCAAAAUUCUCGAUGGUUGUGACUUUUUUCCGGAUAUUGGAAUAGAUGUUCUCGUUAAAAAAUCUCUUAUAACAAUUAAUGAAGACAACAAAUUAUCGAUGCAUGACUUGUUACAAGAGAUGGGAAGGAAAAUUGUUUACCAAGAAUCUCCUAAUGAACCAGGAGAACGUAGUAGAUUAUGGGAAGAAAAUGAUACCUAUAAUGUGCUAAUAGAAAACACAGCAAGUCUUUUAAGUAAAUAUUAGCAUUAUAGUGCUAAAUUUGGUAGAGGUAUUAUUUUUUUUGCUUAUUUAAAUAUAUGAGUUAACUAUAAAUUAAUUAUAAUUGAUAAUUUUUAACCACUCACAUAAUUUGUUUGUCACAAAAAGAAGUAUAAUUUUUUUCUUAUUUUUAAGAGGUCUUAUUAUUUGUAAAUUUGUACUAAUUGUUUUUAUUUUAUAUUUAAUUAUUUGAACAUAUGUAUUAAAUAAGCUUUUUCUAUUACUCUCGUAACUAAACUUGUCAUAGCUGUUAUAUGCAGAGUUAAGCCAUUAAAUUUACUAUUAAUUGUCGAUUACUCUGAUUUUCAGGCUACGGAAGCUGUUCAAGGUAUAGUCUUGGUUUACACAGGGUACAAAUUAAUACAUCUAUCUGUGUAUUUGUAGUUGAUUACUCUGUAUUUUGUGGAGGUCAUUCAUCAUUUGCCCUUGGUUAUCAGGGAACAAAAUAAGACCUGGACUUUGAGUGCUGAUGCCUUCUUGAAGAUGAAAAGGUUAAGAUUGCUCAGAUUCUUGAAUGCCCCAAAUUCUCGUGAUAUUAAGUAUCUCAGCAACGAGUUAAGACUUUUGGAGUGGCAUGGGUAUCCUUUCAAAUCCUUCCCUUCAAGCUUCCAACCAGAAAAGCUUGUUGCACUUCUUCUGCCUUAUAGCUUCAUUAAAAAAUUAUGGAAGCCAGACAUGGUAGGAACUACAUUGUUUUAUCAAUUAUUUGCCUAACACAGAUAGCGAAGAAACAAAAAAGAAAAUGACAUUUCAAUUCUUUGUUUUUCUAUUGUUUUUUUUCCAACAGCCUUUGCAUAAGUUAAAAUUGGUCGACCUCAAAUGCUCUAGAAAUCUUGUGAAAACACCAGAUUUCAGAAUGGUCCCAAACCUUGAAAGUUUGGUUUUGGAAGGUACUGGAAUAGCAGAUUUUCAUCCAAGCAUCAGGUUUCUAAGGAGGCUUAAGCUUUUGAAUUUAAGAAACUGCAAAAGCCUUAGGAGUUUCCCUUCCAAAAUUGGAAAGGAAUCUCUUGAAACAUUAAUUCUUUCAGGUUGUUCAAAUAUAAAAUGGAUUCCAGAGGUUGUGGGAGAAAUGGAGUGUUUGAAAAAGCUUCAUUUAGAUGGGACUGGUAUUAACGAACUUCCCUCUUCAAUUGGACAUCUCAGGAGUCUUGUGUUGUUAAAUCUGAAAGAUUGUUGUAAGCUUGAGAAUCUCCCAAGCAGCAUAGGUGGUUGUGAAUUCCUCACAACUCUUGUUCUCUCUGGUUGUUCCAAGCUAGAAAAUUUGCCAGAGAAUUUGCAGCAAAUAAAAUCUUUGGAGAAGCUUGACUUGAGCGGAACUGCCAUAACAACACCACCGUCCUUCAUUUUUCAUAUGAAAAAUCUGAAGUUUUUGUCCUUUCGAGGAAGCAAGGGACCACCACCUAGAGUACGAGCAUAUUGGCCUUUUAUUUCGAGCGCAACAAAAAGUCCUAGUUGGAACUGUACGACUUUGAGGCUACCUGCAAUUUUGUCAGGUUUGAGUACUUUAAAAGAGCUGAAUUUAAGUGAUUGCAACCUUCAUGAGGGGGCUGUUCCUAAUGAUAUUUGCAGCUUAUCCUCGUUGGAAAUUCUACGUCUUAGUGAUAACAAUUUCACCACCCUACCUGCAACUCUUAGUCGACUUUCCAAGCUUACUCGUCUAUUUCUGACUGAUUGCAAAAGGCUUAAGUCAUUGCCUGAGCUUCCAGCAGCCGGCUUAGAUUUAUGGAUAGAUGGUUGUGCUUCAUUGGAAGUAGUUGCACAGUCAACAACAGCUUGCCCUUCAAGGCUUAGUGGAUAUAUUUGUGCUUUUAACUGCUUCAAAUUGGCAGAGGGUAACAAUGCAGUAACAAUGCUGAAGACACGUCUGAAGGUUAGAACCUUUAUUUUUCGCUAUUAUCGCUCCCAUUGAUUUAUGGUACAAGUUUCAGCAAAAGUGUCUUUGUUUGCAGACAGUUGCAAAUGCAAGAACAAAAUAUUAUGACAUUUUCAUACCAGGAAGUGAAAUCCCAGUAUGGUUUAGCAGUCAAACGGAUGUCUCUUCAAAAUCUAUAAUAAAGAUGCAAUUGCCUCCCAAUUUUCUGAAUGAUACACAGUUCUUAGGAUUUGCUUUCUGCUGUCUUUUCUUCUCUGACUUCAAUAAUAAACCUUGGAGGGGGGAGCAUAUUUCCUACAGAACUGUUAUCCAUGGUAGAAAUUACUCCCGACAAGUUGAAAGUUCUUUCUGUCAUUUAAAGGGGAACUCUACAAGGGUGACCGAGGAUCACCUUUGGAUACAUUAUUUGCCUUGUGCCAAAAUAAAUUUGUCUUCCUUGGUGGAAUUAGCUACUCCACUUCAAAUAGAGGUUGUAGUAAACAUCUUUGGCAUCAAUUCCGUGGUGAAGAAAUGUGGAGCUCGAAUAGUGCAUGAGAAAGAUUUGGAAGAGAUGGAUCAUACCAUAAAUGAGCAUAGUGAGCCAACUUCUUCAAAAUUUGAUGAUAUCCAUUCAAACGAUGGAUCAAACGAGAAUAAUAUCGGCGCGCCCGUCAAAAGAAAAUGGUUAAGCUUUCACUUAUUUUCAUUGUAUUCCUCAAAUCUUCAAUGAUUGAUAUAUGCUAUUGUCUCCUGUUUUGUACGGCUGAUUUACUUCAUAUCUUCGUGCUUUGCUUCCAGGUUGAAUGCGAAAGCAGGUGAUCAGCAGGGGAAAAUUACUCUAUUUUGUGCAUCUUGUCAAUCAGAUAUUGUAAACCAUCGACUACUCUCCUAGCUCUAUAUAUUAUUAUCCAUUUCCUUUCAUAUAGAUUUAUCUUUUCCGUACAAGUUGUGUUUCAAAUUUUUUAUAGGCGGAAAAUACCAUUGGUUAAAAUCAUUUAAUUAGCAUUUUUUUAUUAUUUUUUAAUAAUGAAAUGGACUACAAGUUAUAAUAGAAAUUUUGAAGUAUAGUCAUUCUAUCUUAGGAUAACAUUCUGACACAUGCGUUCAAGAAGAAAUUGAAGCGAAUCAUUUCCUUCUUUUGAGGAACCCUUGUACUCUAGGGAGAACAUUUUCAGACCAUGUGUGCCAUAGUAAAGAAACUAUAUCAUAAAGAAAGCUCCUUGGAAUUGUCUUUUUCUUUUAGCAUUAUUCUAUUAGUACAUCCCAAAACAUCUUAACUAUUGCAAUCAAACCACGUCCAUAUGUUUAUAAAGUUCAGACAUCUUAAUUACAAGAGAUGAAGCAUGAAAAUUUACUCUUGAAAGCAGCCUUUUGAAAGUUAAUACAUGAUGAUCUAAACAUUUGCUUCCAUAAAAUACUAGCAUCUAGAGGAUGACCACUAUACUGUAUGGAUUUUGGGUGAAAUUGAUAUACUAGAUUCCUUUUUUAAGUUUUUUUUAGGUAUUUGGAGGAUUAUAUCAUGUAUCCAUAUCCAAAUGUGUCGUACACAAUUAUAACAUACAGAUAAUUCAUGAAAAAUGAAGAGUCUAAGGUAAUAUAGAUUGAGGGGUGCAUCGAACUAGAAUUCAAUGUAAAAAACAGGAAAAUUGAAAUUAAAGUUCAAUUAGCAGCCAACAAAUUUUUAUAUUGCAAAUAGAGAUUUAUCGUUUGAAUCAAAUUGUCAAAUUAAGCCUAUCAUGUUCUUGAGAGGUUGGUCAAUUUGCAAGCCGAGUUGUUAUUUCUUAAAAAGGUUUUUAUAUAACAAGAGACUACUAUAUGGUUGUGCUUAGUAGCUUUCAAUUGCUCUGCUGGAAAGUUGGCUCUAUACUUUAUCAAACAAAGAAUGUCAUUGAAAUGUCUCAUUUGAUUAUUUAGUGUAUCAACAUAAUGAAAAUUUUAAUUAAUAAAAUAUUUUUUCAUAAUAUAAAGAAUAUUUAGUAUAAAUUUAAACUUAAAAAUUAAAAUAAUAAAAGCUUUAGGUUUUUAUAAAAAAAACUCUUCAAAAUAAUUGAUUUUCCUCCCCUUGGAAGAAAACAAGUUACAGAUAAAAUUUACCAACUAAAAUUAAUUUAUUGUUAACUUAUGUACUAAGAUGUGUUGGAAAAAUUAAGGGUAAAGUAUAAAAUAGUCACUAAAUUGUUAACUUCAUUUUAUUUUGGUCACUAAUCAAUUAAUUUUUUCGAUUUAGUCACUAAGGUUAUUGAAAUAAAAUAUUUUGAUCACUCUCCGGUUAGUUCUGAUUGCUAAAAAAAACAUUAUCUAUACUUAUUAUAAAAAAUUUAAUGAUGUUUAUGUUUCGGGUUAAUCAGAUAUUAACUCGGUUGAAAAAAGAUUAAUACAUUUUCUUUUAAAUGACUAUUAUGAUGAUUCUUUUGCCCUUUUAAACUUAAGGGACCGCGAAGGGUUAGGGUUUUUUUCUGGUUGGCCUUUAAACAGAGAUUGCUUACUCAAGCAAAGCGACUAAGCGUGGUGUGGGAAGUGAAGCAAGGUAUCUGAUCUGUGGCCAUGAAACAGAGGAUGUUCUUCAUGCUAUAAGGGACUGUAAUGCAGUGAAAAAUGUAUGGUUCCGGAUCGUCCCUUCCUAUAAGUUAAUCUUUUUUCUUUUCAAGUAAUUUACCGGAGUCGCUUGAAUGCAAUUUGGAUAAUCGACUCAAUUUAACCUGGUGGAAUGUCGAUUGGCCGUGCUUAUUUGGCAUUGUUGCUUGGCGGAUAUGGAAGAACAUGAAUAUAUACACCUUUCACGGGGUCCCGUGAAUUACAGAGGAGAUCGUCAAAGGUGCAUAGUUGGACCAACCAAUACAUUUCAUCUUGCAAGGAAGGAACCCUAAUGAGAUUGAGCUCAAGAGAAGAGAUAGUGAAAAUAGGAAGAUUGAGUCAAUUUAGAUCCGAUGGAGCCUUUAAAUUUAACACAGGUUAUGCUUCAACAGGUGGUGUAUUGAGAGUCACAAUAGCAAAAGGUUACUCGGGUUCAAUUGCAUAUUGGGUAAAUGUUCUGUUUUUGAUGCUGAAUUGUGGGGCAUCCUUGAUGGUGUGACGUUGACACAAGACAAAAUACAUGAUAGAAUUGUGAUACAGUUAGAUAAUAUGGAAGUUACAGAGUUAUCAAUGAGUCCUUCAUGAAGGAAUCAAAUUCUACAUUAAUCAAGCGUAUCUUACAGCUUUUACAAAAUGAGGAAAAUUGGUUGAUUGAAUAUGUUCCUAGAGACGAGAACAAAGAAGCUAAUAGUAUUACCAAGUUGGCAUUUAGCAGGGAGGAGAGUCUACAGUUAUAUGAAACUUCUCUUCUUGAAACUUUCUAGUAUUUCAUAAUAGUUUCAUUUUGUUCAUCAAAAAAAAAAAAAAUUAAAAACCAUAUAUCAAAAAAUCGAACUUAUGUUUGCUAAAAUUUACAUACAAUUUUUUUUCAUAAUGUUUUUUCUUAUAUUUUCACAUAACCUAUUAAUUAUUUUAGUAACACCAAACAUUAUUGCUAACAUAACAUUACAACAUUAUAGCAUUCACCAAAAACUUAAAUGAGAAAUUAGGAAGAGUAAUUGAGUUCGAGUUCUUUGUUGCUCAGACUCGAUAAAAUGAGAGCUAUAUUUGUGUGGACAGGGAAAAUGUGUUGGAUUGUCGGAUUCUUAUAAUUAAGUGAGAAAAGAAAAAGAAAAAGAAGAUGGAAAAGAAAGAAACAGCCAAACAAAAUCAAAUGAAAAUCGAGAAAAUAAAGUUAAAUGUGUCAAAAACAAGUAGAAUGCCUUUUCUUUUUAACGUCAAUUUCAUGUGAAUUACUAUUCCUUCAACUUGGUUUGUCUUUUGCAAUCAUUACAAUAUUUGAUUAUAAUUUACUCUAAGGUGAUAAUCAAGUUUAUUGUAGAUUAAUCAUUAAUCUCUAGUAUAAGAGCCGAGUUGCUACUACUCACUCUCCAUCAACUUUCCUCCAAAUAUAGCACUUCUUAAUGUUUGUUCUGAGAAACUACCUCUCUUCUUUUGUUUUCAGUUUUCUUAGAGGUGUGUUAAUUGGCCAGCCUUUCUGCGACAAAAAAGAAUCUUGAAAAUCUUCAAGUACCAAGUAAAUCCCAUCGAUUUCUUCAACUUAGCUCCUAAGUUCCAAUGGUUAGAUUCGAUAAUGAGACAUCCUCCUCUUCCUCCUCCUCCUCCUCAUCAGCAUCAUCAUCGUUGGAAUCAUCUUCUUCAGUUUCUCGAGGGAAAUAUGAUGUUUUCUUGAGUUUCAGAGGUGAGGAUACCCGCAGGAAUUUCACGGAUCAUCUUUAUGCUGCAUUCAAAAGGAGAGGAAUCAUCACUUUUUGGGAUGACGAAAAGCUCGAGACAGGUGAACCCAUAGCACCUGAGCUCUUCAAAGCAAUUCAUGAGUCAUGGUGCUCUGUAAUCGUUUUGUCGGAAGGGUAUUGUUUUUCGAGUUGGUGCCUAGAAGAGCUUUCCGAGAUUAUUCAACAGAAAAACGACAAGGGACAUAAAGUCUUCCCCAUUUUCUAUUAUGUGGAUCCAUCUGAUUUGAGAAAACAAACCGGAAAAGUUCAAGAAGCUUUUCUUAAGCAUGAAAAUAAUUUCCAGGACAACAAAGAGAAGACACAAAGGUGGCGAUCUGCUUUAACUCAAGCAGCUAACAUCAAAGGAUGGCACUUGAGUAACAGGUAACUAUCAUAUUCUUUCACUUCAAUAAUAUCUUACCAGCAUCAAGUUUGAAGUUUGAGGCAUUAGCUAAGGAUUGUGCCCUUAAAGUUUCACUAAGCUAUUUCCUUUGCUUUGUAUUUGAAGGCAUGAAUCAGAACUUAUUGGAGAAAUCAUUAAAAAGGUAUCAACAAAAUUAUGUCAAACAUUUGCAAGUGCUCCUAAUGACAUGAUUGGAAUUGAGUCACGUUUGGAAGAGUUAAAUUGCAAAAUAGGCAUAGGGGAGGAAGAUGAUAGUGUUCAGAUUAUAGGGAUUUGUGGUAUGGGCGGGUUAGGUAAAACAACACUUGCGAGAUUUGUUUAUACCCAAAUUUCAAGUCAUUUUGAGGGCCAAAGCUUUCUGGCCGAUGUUCGUGAAAUUGCAGAGAAACAUGGACUUGUUUGUUUGCAGAAACAACUUCUUUCCCAAAUUUUUCCAGAGGAAAGUUUCAACUUUUUUAAUGUUCAUGAUGGGAAUGACAUCAUACGUCAUAUGUUAUCUCAUAAAAAGAUUUUUGUUGUUGUUGAUGAUGUGGAUAACAUACAACACUUAAAAUGUUUGAUAGGCAAGCGAGCUUGGUUUGGUUUAGGAAGCAGGAUCAUCAUAACAACAAGAGACGAGCAUCUGCUGCAAAUCUACGGAGUGGAUGAUGUGUAUAAUCCGACGAAAUUGAAUGCCAAGGAAGCACUUCGCCUUUUCAGUUUGAAAGCUUUCAAAAGUGAAACACCUGCAAUGGAAUUUUUUGAGCUUUCUAAACGUGUAGUGGAAUAUGCCAAUGGCCUUCCGUUAGCUCUUGAAGUUUUUGGUUCUUUUCUGUCUGGC